This 69-nucleotide transfer RNA is filed under the name Chelonia mydas (Green sea turtle). It matches the Rfam family "tRNA". From Rfam's summary of the family: Transfer RNA (tRNA) molecules are approximately 80 nucleotides in length. Their secondary structure includes four short double-helical elements and three loops (D, anti-codon, and T loops). The record is from Rfam by way of RNAcentral. Lineage: Eukaryota; Metazoa; Chordata; Testudines; Cheloniidae.
ACCCGGCUAGCUCAGCUGAGCAUGAAACUCUUGAUUUCAGGGUUGUGGGUUCAAGCCCCACGUUAGGUG